AAAGAAGAGAGGAUGCCACCGCGGACUGAGUACCAGGUUCCAGGCUUUGGGGUGAAGCCCAGGCAGCAGCUACAUGCAGAGGAGUGAGUGGGCGAGCACUGUAUCUUCUCACGUACCGUAUACAUACAGCAUAUAGUCCGAAUGAGCCUUUCCCACUAUGUUGGAAGCCUCACAGCGGGACAUUACACCACAAUAGUUUUAGUGAUAUGAAAAUUAUAAGCAUGAUGCUCCUAAUGAAGCUAUAUAAUGAAGUAGAGGAAAUGAAUUAACAAGAAAAACCUACACUCUGUAAUGUAAAUUGAGCCAUGCUCGAAGGGCAAGAAGAGGUUGGGACAAGAUGGUCUCUUAUAAGCAAGUUUAUAACUUGUUCUACUUGGACAAUUUAAAUACACAAUAAAAAGGGUAGCAGCUGAAAAAUGGCUUCCAAAGGCAAAUUCAAGCCCCAAGAACCCAUGCAUAUGGCCUAGUUUGGAAAAGACACUUUGCACGUGCAGUCUUGAAGAUCUUAAGAUGAGAAAACUCUGGAUCAUUUGGGUGGGCUCUAAACUCAGCGACACUGUGUCUUAUGUGACACCCAAGCCUCCUGAAUGAUGGCUGGCAACAGGCUCUGAAGCGUCACCCAAGACCGUCAGAAAAUACAGAUACUCAUAUUACAAUUCAUAACAGUAGCAAAAACUACAGUUAUAAAGUAGCAAUGAAAAUAAUUUUAGGGUUGGUGGGUCACCACAACAUGAGGAACAUAAUGGGUCAUAGCACUAGGAAGGGUGAGAAGCACUGCCCUAACUCCUUGGGGAAAUUCGCAGAGCACUUGCCAUCUAAGAAGCAGAAAGGACUCUCUAAGGUCUUGGAGGGAAGGUGGCCCAAAUAAGCCCCCAAUUUGCUCCUUUGGUAUUUAGAAUUGUGAGUGGAUCUCUGUGGUUUUGGGACAGGUCUGUGACACUGCCAAUUGACAUGGCAGCCCUAAGGCACUAACAUAAGAACUCCCACAGUUGGCAAUGCCUUUCCCCAAUCAGAUCCCUAAUCACUGCUCACCCACCCAAAUCCUCACACCACCACCCACUAGACCCAUUCCACUGUAUCCUCGGACCGCCACAGGCCAGCCUACAGGAGGAAUCUUCUGGAGAAAAGUGAGAGCAGAGGGUCAUGUGGUCACAGUCUUGGAUGGAGCACGGCUUUGGACGGAAAGAUCCCUCCACCCUCUGCCUCUGAAGCAGAAGGGCCUGGAGGAGAAGACAAGGAGACCCUCUUCUCUGGUUUACAGGGGAUGGCUAGGGACAGUCUCGCUACCGUGCAGAAUUACGGAUCGACUUUAACUUUCAACACCUUUUUCUAACUAAAGCUACAUAGAACAUAAACCUUAGAACAAAAUGUUAGUAAGAAAUGGGAAUAAAAUUGUAAACAUCCGGUUUACGGUGGAUUAGAGAGGGAGGGGGAAUCACUGAAGACUUUGUUGGCCCAGGAAUGAUGACAGUGAACACGGAAAGAAGCCGAUUUUAAGCCACAUUAAAGCAGACUGGCACUGCUUUAGCUUCAUGUUUGAGUUGGCCGCAGUAUCUUCACGUUCUCAUUGGCACUUGGUAUUACAGUAGCCCUUCAGCAGGAUGAUCUUUUGAUCACUCUUCUACCAGAACAACAGAGGAACAACCCUCGUACACCAUACAGAUUGCAUACGGACUUCAAGGGAAGGAGCUUCCAAGCACAGGCCUCAAAACAAGGUGCUCGGCUACUCACACUGCACUUCUAGAUAGCGCUGGGUCUGCAGGUUUCCAGUGACCGCAGGGUGCUCCACCUGGCAGAUCACCGGGACCCCGUCGUCCUCCUUGUGCACCUUCAGCAUCAGCUGACUGGUCACAGUGUACAUGUCCGACCACUCCUCCACCUCUGAUUUGCCUGCGGGAGACAAAGCAGAUCAUCAUCCUUUCCCUUUCUCCCCACCCCUAACAGUGUUACCUUAGGUAACAAGAUGGCAACGUCAUAGGUCAGGGCGAUCUGGGACCCGAGACCUCAUACAAUGGUUAUUUCCCUUAGUUUCCUUCUUUCAUCCUUGUGUAACAGUGGUCCAGAUAUAUUCCAAAGCUAGGCAAUACACACUAGUUUAAUUC
Long non-coding RNA from Mus musculus (house mouse), 2102 nucleotides. RefSeq annotates it as predicted gene 10677. The transcript is spliced from 3 exons. Lineage: Eukaryota; Metazoa; Chordata; Mammalia; Rodentia; Muridae. The record is from RefSeq and is marked validated.